Cinara cedri is the source of this 593-nucleotide non-coding RNA. NCBI's taxonomy places the organism in Eukaryota, Metazoa, Arthropoda, Insecta, Hemiptera, Aphididae. The record is from the annotation of a GenBank genome assembly.
AUGUAUUUGAAACAUUUAAUAAGCAUGCAUUAUUACAAUACCAUUUAAAGUGUAUUAUGGAUGCAGACAACUUUAUAUACAAUUUAUUUGUUUGAGAUCGAUUAUUUAGAAAACAAGUAUGUACAUGACGGUAGGUAUUCCGACUUACGGUUACACCGUUAUACGUUACAGUACACAGACAGGUAACGUAUGAUACUGUAUACUAUAUACUGUACUCAUCUAUGAUCAUUCCGAUAGCAAUGGCAAGUCGAUUUGCUACUCAUUGUAGGCUACAGGUUGACGUCGAGAGAUGGUGAUUGCUUGAUGGUAUUAACCACGAUUCCCCGUUUUCUUUUUGAUAGGUUGGACUGCCUUCGGUCAAGAGUACUUCUUCUUUUCCUUGAAUGCUCGGUAGUAUUGCUCACUGUUGCUCCCAACUUCCUUCUUGAUAAAUUGGCUGGACUGACUCCGUUCGUAAUCUUGGAACCGCAAUUUUUCCGUGAUCACUCAACAGUAUUAGUAGCAUCAUUUGAUGCUAAUCAGAGAUUACCAUAGCCACAAUAUAUUAGAUACUUUUCUACUGAUCUACCACCCAGUCGCUGGUGUGAUUAUCA